GACGAACGCUGGCGGCGUGCUUAACACAUGCAAGUCGAACGGAAACGCCCCUUUGGGGGUUCUCGAGUGGCGAACGGGUGAGUAACACGUGAGUAACCUGCCCUUGACUGCGGGUUAACUUCAGAAAACUGGGGCUAAUACCGGAUAGGAAUCCUUGCUGCAUGGGGGGGGUUGGAAAGCUUCGGCGGUUUUGCACGGGCUGGCGGGUUAUCAGCUUGUUGGUUGGGUGGUGGCUUACCAACGCGCUGACGGGUCGCCGGCCUGUGAGGGCGAGCGGCCACAUUGGGACUGAGAUGCGGCCCAGACGCCUACGGGAGGCAGCAGUGGGGAAUAUUGCACAAGGGGCGGAAGCCUGAUGCAGCAACGCCGCGGGCGGGAUGACGGCCUUCGGGUUGUAGACCGCGUUCAGCAGGGGCGAAGCUUGUGGUGACGGUACCUUCAGAAGAAGCACCGGCUAACUACGUG
This 465-nucleotide ribosomal RNA is filed under the name uncultured bacterium. Its description in RNAcentral is "partial 16S ribosomal RNA". It matches the Rfam family "Bacterial small subunit ribosomal RNA", at positions 28 to 507 of the family's 1533-position model. The record is from RNAcentral.